CAUGUGGUAAAAUUGUGGUACGCAGGUUAAUAUUAAUCUACUCUUCCUUUUCUUUUUGACUGCAUGUUUAGCUUUUCAUUUAAAUGUCGAUGUGACUCCUACAAGGUCAUACGUUUGUUACUUCGGUACUAUGCCCAUGCAACAACUUUUUCAUGUCUAUCUCCCAAAUUCAACCACCAAUGUUAAUUUCACGUCAGGCACAGUUCCUACCAAUGGCACACUCACUGUUUCUUUCAGCCUAUAACUGUUAAAGUACUUUGUUCUAUGUUAUGAUUCUAGGCUCCUCAGCUUUUCCUUCAAGUAAAACUUCGGGAAGUGUCAACCUGGUAUCUUGUCCUGCAUUAUCAGGUAUAGAAAUUCACUCAUUA
Pelobates cultripes (western spadefoot toad) is the source of this 368-nucleotide non-coding RNA. The record is from the annotation of a GenBank genome assembly. Lineage: Eukaryota; Metazoa; Chordata; Amphibia; Anura; Pelobatidae.